RNAcentral lists this ribosomal RNA (253 nucleotides) under uncultured bacterium. Its description in RNAcentral is "partial 16S ribosomal RNA". It matches the Rfam family "Bacterial small subunit ribosomal RNA", at positions 524 to 776 of the family's 1533-position model. The record is from RNAcentral.
UACGUAGGUGACAAGCGUUGUCCGGAUUUACUGGGCGUAAAGAGCGCGCAGGCGGUCGAUCAAGUCGAGUGUGAAAGCCCCCGGCUCAACUGGGGAGGGUCAUUCGAUACUGAUCGACUCGAAGGCAGGAGAGGGUAGUGGAAUUCCCGGUGUAGUGGUGAAAUGCGUAGAUAUCUGAAGGAACAUCAGUGGCGAAAGCGACUUCCUGGACCAAUACUGACGCUCAUGUGCGAAAGCGUGGGGAGCAAACAGG